AGCGAACGCUGGCGGCAGGCUUAACACAUGCAAGUCGAGCGGGCACUUUCGGCUGUCAGCGGCGGACGGGUGAGUAACGCGUGGGGACGUGCCCGCUGGUCCGGAAUAACUCAGGGAAAUUUGAUCUAAUACCGGAUACGCACUCUUGGUGAAAGGCUUGCCGCCGGAGGAUCGGUCCGCGUCUGAUUAGCUAGUUGGUUGGGUAACGGCACAGCAAGGCGACGAUUGGUAGCUGGUCUGAGAGGGUGAUCAGCCACACUGGGACUGGGGCACGGCCCAGACUCCUACGCGAGGCAGCAGUGGGGAAUAUUGGAGGAUGGGCGCAAGCCUGAUCCAGCCAUGCCGCGGGAGUGAUGAAGGCCUUAGGGUUGUAAAGCCCUUUUAUCCGGGACGUUAAUGACGGUACCGGAGGAAUAAGCCCCGGCUAACUUCGUG
This 435-nucleotide ribosomal RNA is filed under the name uncultured bacterium. RNAcentral's name for it is "partial 16S ribosomal RNA". It matches the Rfam family "Bacterial small subunit ribosomal RNA", at positions 28 to 507 of the family's 1533-position model. The record is from RNAcentral.